UACGGGGGGAGCAAGCGUUGUUCGGAUUUACUGGGCGUAAAGGGCGCGUAGGCGGCGCAACAAGUCACUUGUGAAAUCUCCGGGCUUAACCCGGAGCGGCCAAGUGAUACUGUCGUGCUAGAGUGCGGAAGGGGCUACUGGAAUUCUCGGUGUAGCGGUGAAAUGCGUAGAUAUCGAGAGGAACACCCGGGGCGAAGGCGGCCCUCUGGCUCGACCCUGACGCUGAGGCGCGAAAGCGUGGGGAGCGAACGGG
Molecule: ribosomal RNA, 253 nt
Filed under: uncultured bacterium
Lineage: Bacteria
Description: partial 16S ribosomal RNA
Rfam family: Bacterial small subunit ribosomal RNA
Source: RNAcentral